Passer montanus (Eurasian tree sparrow) is the source of this 343-nucleotide long non-coding RNA. RefSeq lists it as uncharacterized. The transcript is spliced from 3 exons. The record is from RefSeq and is a predicted model, not a curated record. Lineage: Eukaryota; Metazoa; Chordata; Aves; Passeriformes; Passeridae.
ACCUGUGGUGCCAACUCCACCUCUCUAGGCUCCUCUGCGUGACAGCCAGAAGCUGCACACAGUUCAAGUUUACUUCAUUUUACAGCAUGGCUUCACAUGAUGUUACAUCAACUGCACAAAUGACAAAAUCUGGAAAAUUUAAAGCAGGUUAUUUUGCAUCUAGACUGGCGUCUUCAUGAGGAAUUGCUGAACUGACUUCAGAUAUGGUCUUGAUGUCAUGAAGACUUUUCUUUCUACUAUCAACCAAAAAAAAUCUGGACUGCAAAAUUAAGGCCAGACAUCUAAAAGGGCUGGAUGGUCAGAGCUGCUGCUUGGGGAAGGGAAUUCGCUGCUGCCACCGGAG